UUUUUUCAUAGUCGAUAGUACUUUUACAUGUCAAAAUUGUCAAUAGACAUGAUACAUAGAUUUGUCCUUGGAUAAUGACAUGGAAAUUAAUAGAAUUAACUUUCAAAAUGAUUUUUUUUUAAUUCCCUUCCCUGAUGAUCUUGUAUGGACAGCCUGUUGGAUCGUUUGGAUCACAAGGUUGAUGGAGUUUAGGGCCUGAAUAGUCAAUGCCGACCUCCAUCUGUAGGCUUUCCUUCAGGAUCUGCCACUUCAACUCCUUUGAUGCCCUUCACAAAUUACCAAGAAUUAGAUUCAAGUUUCAACUGAAAAUACAACAAACGUAAUAGUUAUAAUGAUAAUAAUAACAACAACGAGGGAAAACCUGAGAGAAUUUUUUGUUGGGUAGUUCUUCUUCUUUAUUCGAAACAAAGCUUUGUCCUAAACCUGGUAAAAAAAAAUGAUAAAUUUCAUAUUUUAUCCCAUUAUGCAUGAUAUAAUUGAUGUUAAAAUAGCAAUAGGAAAUAAGGACAAAGUGCAUUGAAAAGUAUAAUUUACCCCUUGACAUCGAAACUGCAGUAGAAGAGAGAAUAUGCAUGUAAAUCAAAAGAAACACGAAAAGCGUAAGAUAAACCUUCAUUGCCACUUGAGAUUGUAGGUCGAUUUCAAUAGAAAUUAAUGUGAAAAUGGAGAAGGUUGAUGGUUUUGAUUUGACAAUGCACAAGAAUUAG
Molecule: long non-coding RNA, 707 nt
Filed under: Olea europaea (common olive)
Lineage: Eukaryota; Viridiplantae; Streptophyta; Magnoliopsida; Lamiales; Oleaceae
Description: long non-coding RNA (OEUR_LNC010265)
Source: RNAcentral